AAUUCUCAACCUUAUAAAGCUUGUCUUUGUAAGGCUUGGAUGUGGGGGUUUGCUGGUGUCUUUUAAAGACGUUUCCGGCUCCUCUGAAAUUCAUUAGUUGGUUUUGUCCUUUUUUCUUAAACCAAACCUUGGUGUGAUAAUUAUCUACGCCUUGGUGUUAAUUGGUUCAAGAGCUUGGGUAGUGCAUUAGUUUGUCUCUACCUGCUUAUCUAUCAAGAGUUUUGCAUUAAGUUGCUUUACUUGGAUAGGAAAGUCUAUCGAGUGGCGGUUGCAUUAAGUUGCUCUGUCUGGAUAGCAAGGACAUGUAUGCUAGCUUUCUAACUGUCUUCGGACACUUAUUGACU
RNAcentral lists this unclassified non-coding RNA (344 nucleotides) under uncultured Gymnopus. RNAcentral's name for it is "sequence contains ITS2". Lineage: Eukaryota; Fungi; Basidiomycota; Agaricomycetes; Agaricales; Tricholomataceae. The record is from RNAcentral.